CUAAUCCGGUCCAACUCUUAGGAUCCCUUAUCCUAUUGAGCUCAAGAGUCCUUAGGGGCCAACAUCUAAUUGAUUUUAGAUUAAAGUUUAAGUCAAUGCAGUAUGCAGGAUGAUGGUUUAUGGGCCAAAGAAGGGUGAUGAAAUCCUCACCUUAUCUUGUUUAGGGUUUGUGCCCUUAAGAUGUUUUAUGGAAUUAUGUAAUGCAAGAAGAAAAGGUGGCCAGAUUUGGAGGUG
RNAcentral lists this long non-coding RNA (234 nucleotides) under Elaeis guineensis (African oil palm). RNAcentral's name for it is "long non-coding RNA (EGUI_LNC034398)". Lineage: Eukaryota; Viridiplantae; Streptophyta; Magnoliopsida; Arecales; Arecaceae. The record is from RNAcentral.